AUGAACGCUGGCGGCGUGCCUAAUACAUGCCAGUCGAGCGAACAGACGAGGAGCUUGCUCCUCUGACGUUAGCGGCGGACGGGUGAGUAACACGUGGAUAACCUACCUAUAAGACUGGGAUAACUUCGGGAAACCGGAGCUAAUACCGGAUAAUAUAUUGAACCGCAUGGUUCAAUAGUGUAAGACGGUUUUGCUGUCACUUAUAGAUGGAUCCGCGCCGCAUUAGCUAGUUGGUAAGGUAACGGCUUACCAAGGCAACGAUGCGUAGCCGACCUGAGAGGGUGAUCGGCCACACUGGAACUGAGACACGGUCCAGACUCCUACGGGAGGCAGCAGUAGGGAAUCUUCCGCAAUGGGCGAAAGCCUGACGGAGCAACGCCGCGUGAGUGAUGAAGGUCUUCGGAUCGUAAAACUCUGUUAUUAGGGAAGAACAAAUGUGUAAGUAACUAUGCACGUCUUGACGGUACCUAAUCAGAAAGCCACGGCUAACUACGUG
Molecule: ribosomal RNA, 496 nt
Filed under: uncultured bacterium
Lineage: Bacteria
Description: partial 16S ribosomal RNA
Rfam family: Bacterial small subunit ribosomal RNA
Source: RNAcentral